This is a long non-coding RNA of Rosa rugosa (rugosa rose), 1405 nucleotides long. RefSeq lists it as uncharacterized. The record is from RefSeq and is a predicted model, not a curated record. The transcript is spliced from 2 exons. Lineage: Eukaryota; Viridiplantae; Streptophyta; Magnoliopsida; Rosales; Rosaceae.
GUUGUUAAUUGUCUUGAAUUAAUGGAUUUGGAAUCUGUGUAUAUAAUGGUUGAGUGGGUAUUGUUAACGUGAUUGGGAUUUGGAAAGGAAGUUGUUGGUUUGGAUGAAAUUGUUAUCAGUGGAUAAUGAUCUGGGAAAGUCGAAACCUUGUGUACUAUUUGUUUUAGAGUACGAGGUUAACCAUUGAAGUUGGUUAUAGGAAACAAUAAAUUUUUCCUUGGUUGAAAUUUUUUAGUGGGUGUCCAUAGUAGUUAAAAUGAAUUGCAUGCUUACUGUUGGUAUUGGUGGGUUGCAAUUGGUUCAUGUACUUUGAGAUUGAUUAAGCUUAUCAGUGGACUAACGCACCAGAUUGUGAUUCUAGAAUAUGUUGGUUUCCAAUUAAACUUGUUUACCAUUCAUGAUGGGUAUUGGAUACAAGUUUCUAAGUAUAUACCCACACCCAUAGUGAAUUUGAUUAUGAUUUCUCCACUGUGGUGGAAUCAGUGAAUAGUUGGGUAAUAUAGUUGCCAAGAAAAUGGUCAAGGUGAUAUAGUUGGUGUCCAUAGUAAUUCAGGUGUGAUUGCUAUGCGCUAUGAAUUUUGUUUGGAAUUUUCAGUCAAAGAGUUGUGGAAAAAUGAUUGGGUGUACUUAGCAAAAAAAUUAUGGAUUAUGACUUAUGAGUAAAGUAUCGUCGUUCGGAAAUAGUAGUCGGAUUUGCUUGGAUCUGUUGAGUGUUAUUUAAUUUUGGAUUUUCGUAACACUCGAAAAUAUUGUCGGAUUUAGGGACUCCAGUUACCCAGAUUAUGAAACGUGGUGGUGUUGGCCUAGGAAAGCAAAUGGAGUCGAAGCUGCAAUAUUCCAGGUAGGGUGACUCGGGACUCUCUCGGUUAUGAUUUUUCUUCUAUAUAAAUAAUAUCGCAUGGCUAUGAUUAUUUCUCUAUGAAUUUAAAGGAUUUGAUAUUUUAUCGCCAUGCUUGUUUUCAAUGCUUUUCUAUAUUGUGUGAUGACCUGAGAGUGAGCGGAGCAUAGCGACUACCUUGGGUUUCGAUCCCCUAAACCUCCGGAGGGGCUGUAUGGACGGUAUGGUGUCCUACAUCCUGUGAGGUGUGACACCAUUUCUAGGUGAUACGGCGUAAAUGGACACUCUCGCUACUCCUUACCGUGUAUGUUGGUAAUCUUGGUAAGGGUGUAGUUGGCAUAGUGACCGGUCAUCAGUUUUGGAUGCAGGUACUGUGCACGUGAACGGGACAAUAUUGGAAUAGCUGGGUGGGCCAAACAAGUUAUUUUAUGUAUAACUUAUUUGUAAUAUUUUUCAAGUUCCGAUUUCUUGCACUUUUAAAUGUAAUUCAAUCGUACUUUACUUUGGUUGUUUGGUACUUUGUCUUUAUUACAACUUGUUUUCGUUGAAAAGUUUUUCGACUUAAAA